GAUGAACGCUGGCGGCGUGCUUAACACAUGCAAGUCGAACGAAGCAUUUAAGACAGAUUCCUUCGGUUUGAAGUCUUUUAUGACUGAGUGGCGGACGGGUGAGUAACGCGUGGGUAACCUGCCUCAUACAGGGGGAUAGCAGCUGGAAACGGCUGGUAAUACCGCAUAAGCGCACAGUACCACAUGGUACAGUGUGAAAAACUCCGGUGGUAUGAGAUGGACCCGCGUCUGAUUAGCUUGUUGGCGGGGUAACGGCCCACCAAGGCGACGAUCAGUAGCCGACCUGAGAGGGUGACCGGCCACAGUGGGACUGAGACACGGCCCAGACUCCUACGGGAGGCAGCAGUGGGGAAUAUUGCACAAUGGAGGAAACUCUGAUGCAGCGACGCCGCGUGAGUGAAGAAGUAGUUCGCUAUGUAAAGCUCUAUCAGCAGGGAAGAUAGUGACGGUACCUGACGAAGAAGCUCCGGCUAAAUACGUG
Molecule: ribosomal RNA, 481 nt
Filed under: uncultured bacterium
Lineage: Bacteria
Description: partial 16S ribosomal RNA
Rfam family: Bacterial small subunit ribosomal RNA
Source: RNAcentral